ACUCGCACAAGCGGUGGAGCAUGUGGUUAAUUCGAAGCAACGCGAGGAACCUUACCAGGUCUUGACAUCCUUUGAAUACACUAGAGAUAGUGUAGGCCUUCGGGACAGAAGAGACAGGUGGUGCAUGGUUGUCGUCAACUCGUGUCGUGAGAUGUUGGGUUAAGUCCCGCAACGAGCGCAACCCCUAUCUUUAGUUGCCAUCAUUGAGUUGGGCACUCUAAAGAGACUGCCGGUGUCAAACCGGAGGAAGGUGGGGAUGACGUCAAGUCCUCAUGGCCUUUAUGACCUGGGCUACACACGUGCUACAAUGGUUGGUACAACGAGUUGCGAGUCGGUGACGGCGAGCUAAUCUCUUAAAGCCAAUCUCAGUUCGGAUUGUAGGCUGCAACUCGCCUACAUGAAGUCGGAAUCGCUAGUAAUCGCGGAUCAGCACGCCGCGGUGAAUACGUUCCCGGGCCUU
This 460-nucleotide ribosomal RNA is filed under the name uncultured Streptococcus sp. RNAcentral describes it as "bacterial SSU rRNA". It matches the Rfam family "Bacterial small subunit ribosomal RNA", at positions 919 to 1382 of the family's 1533-position model. Lineage: Bacteria; Bacillati; Bacillota; Bacilli; Lactobacillales; Streptococcaceae. The record is from RNAcentral.